AGUCGAACGGCAGCGCGAGAGAGCUUGCUCUCUUGGCGGCGAGUGGCGGACGGGUGAGUAAUAUAUCGGAACGUGCCCAGUAGCGGGGGAUAACUACUCGAAAGAGUGGCUAAUACCGCAUACGCCCUACGGGGGAAAGGGGGGGAUCGCAAGACCUCUCACUAUUGGAGCGGCCGAUAUCGGAUUAGCUAGUUGGUGGGGUAAAGGCUCACCAAGGCAACGAUCCGUAGCUGGUUUGAGAGGACGACCAGCCACACUGGGACUGAGACACGGCCCAGACUCCUACGGGAGGCAGCAGUGGGGAAUUUUGGACAAUGGGGGAAACCCUGAUCCAGCCAUCCCGCGUGUAUGAUGAAGGCCUUCGGGUUGUAAAGUACUUUUGGCAGAGAAGAAAAGGUAUCCCCUAAUACGGGAUACUGCUGACGGUAUCUGCAGAAUAAGCACCGGCUAACUACGUGCCAGCAGCCGCGGUAAUACGUAGGGUGCAAGCGUUAAUCGGAAUUACUGGGCGUAAAGCGUGUGUAGGCGGUUCGGAAAGAAAGAUGUGAAAUCCCAGGGCUCAACCUUGGAACUGCAUUUUUAACUGCCGAGCUAGAGUAUGUCAGAGGGGGGUAGAAUUCCACGUGUAGCAGUGAAAUGCGUAGAUAUGUGGAGGAAUACCGAUGGCGAAGGCAGCCCCCUGGGAUAAUACUGACGC
This 697-nucleotide ribosomal RNA is filed under the name Alcaligenes faecalis. RNAcentral describes it as "bacterial SSU rRNA". It matches the Rfam family "Bacterial small subunit ribosomal RNA", at positions 60 to 746 of the family's 1533-position model. The record is from RNAcentral. Lineage: Bacteria; Pseudomonadati; Pseudomonadota; Betaproteobacteria; Burkholderiales; Alcaligenaceae.